AGAUUGAACGCUGGCGGCAUGCCUUACACAUGCAAGUCGAACGAGAAAGGGGAGCAAUCCCUGAGUACAGUGGCGACCGGGUGAGUAACACGUGACUAACCUACCCUCGAGUGUGGAAUAACAUCGGGAAACCGAUGCUAAUACCGCAUAACAUCGCAAGAUCAAAGGAGUAAUCCGCUUGAGGAGGGGGUCGCGGCUGAUUAGCUAGUUGGCGGGGUAAUGGCCCACCAAGGCGAAGAUCGGUA
Molecule: ribosomal RNA, 245 nt
Filed under: uncultured bacterium
Lineage: Bacteria
Description: partial small subunit ribosomal RNA
Rfam family: Bacterial small subunit ribosomal RNA
Source: RNAcentral